This is a long non-coding RNA of Peromyscus californicus insignis, 605 nucleotides long. RefSeq lists it as uncharacterized. Lineage: Eukaryota; Metazoa; Chordata; Mammalia; Rodentia; Cricetidae. The transcript has 3 exons. The record is from RefSeq and is a predicted model, not a curated record.
UGAAUAUGAAUAUGAAUCAUUUGAAUAUGAUUUUCUCUGCUCUUCUUUUGACCAGCCAGCCAUGGGUACUGUCUGGGCAAUUUUUGCUGCAGCUACUAAAGAUAAAUAACUUGGAACUGCUCAGGCUGGCUGAGUGAUUCGCUGUGCUCCUGGGCAGGGUGAAGGUGCUUGUGAACACAGCUACCAUGCAUCAUGAUGCUUCCUUAGAAUCCCUACAAGGAGAGAAAACGAUCAUGGACAGACCAGACCAUUUCUAAGUGAACAACAACAGCAACAACAAAAGCAAUAGAAAAGCGUUUAAGGGAUGAAGCUGAGAAGACUUCUCUGUACUGUCCCUUCACGAUGUCCUGGAUCUCCUGCAUUCAACGUUCCAGAAAGGUCACACUCUGCAUAAAUGGCCUGGAUUUUGUCUCAAAUUCCAGCACCAGUUUUCAGCGAGUGCCAGCAUCUCUUCUCGGAGGCCAUCUUCACACCUCCAAGUAGGAACCACGAUCCUCUCAGGACACUCUCAGGUUUCUUCUUUGUUUCCAAAUCUGUUGGGGAAAGAGCUAUAUCAGGAAUAUGCUCUGCAUGCCUGCCGUUCCAGCUGGGUGCCCUGCAUGCCU